UAGGGAAUCUUCCGCAAUGGGCGAAAGCCUGACGGAGCAACGCCGCGUGAGUGAUGAAGGUCUUCGGAUCGUAAAACUCUGUUAUUAGGGAAGAACAAAUGUGUAAGUAACUAUGCACGUCUUGACGGUACCUAAUCAGAAAGCCACGGCUAACUACGUGCCAGCAGCCGCGGUAAUACGUAGGUGGCAAGCGUUAUCCGGAAUUAUUGGGCGUAAAGCGCGCGUAGGCGGUUUUUUAAGUCUGAUGUGAAAGCCCACGGCUCAACCGUGGGGAGUCAUUGGAAACUGGAAAACUUGAGUGCAGAAGAGGAAAGUGGAAUUCCAUGUGUAGCAGUGAAAUGCGCAGAGAUAUGGAGGAAAACCAGUGGCGAAGGCGACUUUCUGGUCUGUAACUGACGCUGAUGUGCGAAAGCGUGGGGAUCAAACAGG
Molecule: ribosomal RNA, 429 nt
Filed under: Actinomycetes bacterium
Lineage: Bacteria; Bacillati; Actinomycetota; Actinomycetes
Description: Actinobacteria bacterium partial 16S ribosomal RNA
Rfam family: Bacterial small subunit ribosomal RNA
Source: RNAcentral